RNAcentral lists this ribosomal RNA (487 nucleotides) under uncultured bacterium. RNAcentral's name for it is "bacterial SSU rRNA". It matches the Rfam family "Bacterial small subunit ribosomal RNA", at positions 28 to 507 of the family's 1533-position model. The record is from RNAcentral.
GAUGAACGCUAGCGGCAGGCCUAACACAUGCAAGUCGAGGGGUAACAUAGGAAAGCUUGCUUUUCUGAUGACGACCGGCGCACGGGUGCGUAACGCGUAUACAACCUACCUUUUAGCGGGGAAUAGCCCAGGGAAACUUGGAUUAAUGCCCCAUAGUAUAUAGACUUCUCCUGAAGUUUAUAUUAAACAUUUAUGGCUAUUAGAUGGGUAUGCGUCCUAUUAGUUAGUUGGUAAGGUAACGGCUUACCAAGGCAGCGAUAGGUAGGGGUCCUGAGAGGGAGAUCCCCACACUGGUACUGAGACACGGACCAGACUCCUACGGGAGGCAGCAGUGAGGAAUAUUGGACAAUGGGCGAGAGCCUGAUCCAGCCAUGCCGCGUGCAGGAAGACUGCCCUAUGGGUUGUAAACUGCUUUUACAGAGGAAGAACCACCCUCACGUGUGGGGGUUUGACGGUACUCUGCGAAUAAGGAUCGGCUAACUCCGUG